RNAcentral lists this ribosomal RNA (1764 nucleotides) under Triticum aestivum (bread wheat). RNAcentral's name for it is "partial small subunit ribosomal RNA". Lineage: Eukaryota; Viridiplantae; Streptophyta; Magnoliopsida; Poales; Poaceae. The record is from RNAcentral.
AUGUCGCGAGGACAAGGAAGAUCGAUGGGAAGCAUGCUCUCGUUUCUCCUUGUAGCCAUCCUGCUCCACCUCGCCGGCGGCAGCCCUCCUCCGGAGCCGGUGGUCUGCACGGACGGCACGUCCAACUGCACGGUCACCAACUCGGUCGGUUCCUUUCCGGACCGCGUCGUCUGCCGCGCGCGCAGCGUCACCUACCCGCGCACCGAGCAGGAGCUCGUCGGGGCCGUGGCGGCCGCGGUGUCCGCGAAGCGCAAGAUGAAGGUGGCCACGAGGUACUCGCACAGCAUCCCCAAGCUGAUGUGCCCCGGCGGCCUCGACGGCGCCAUCAUAAGCACGGAGCGGCUCAACCGGACGGUGCGCAUCGACGCGAAGAAGGGGCUCAUGACGGUGGAGAGCGGCAUGGUCCUCCGUGACCUGGUCGAGGCGGCCGGCGCCGCGGGGCUGUCGCUCCCGAACUCGCCGUACUGGUACGGCCUGACGAUCGGGGGCCUGCUGUCGACGGGCGCGCACGGGAGCUCGCUGUGGGGCAAGGGCAGCGCCGUGCACGAGUACGUGGUCGGGCUGAGGAUCGUGACGCCGGCGCCGGCCAGCAAGGGGUACGCCGUGGUGAGGGAGCUCGGCGCCGAUCACCCGGACCUGGACGCGGCGAAGGUCAGUCUCGGGGUUCUCGGCGUGGUCUCUCAGGUCACCCUGGCCCUGCAGCCGCUGUUCAAGCGGUCGUUGACGUUCGUGACGCGCGACGACUCGGACUUCGCGGGCCAGGUGGCCGCCUGGGGCCGCCUCCACGAGUUCGGCGACAUGGCGUGGCUGCCGCAGCAGCGCAAGGUCCUCUACCGCGAGGACGACCGCGUCGACGUCUCGUCGCCGGGCGACGGCCUCUGGGACUCGCUCCUUGGCCGCUCCAUUCCCACGCGGCUGCUCGUCAAUGGCAGAGCCGCCGAGGAGCGGCUGCAGGAGGGCAGCACCAACGACACCGCUCUGUGCGCCGCGGGGCGGCUGCAGGCGGACUCGCUGGAGCGGCAGGCCUACGGCUUCAAGAACGACGGCCUCAACUUCACCGGGUACCCGGUGGUGGGGUACCAGCACCGCAUCCAGGCGUCCGGCGCGUGCAUCAACAGCCCGGAGGACGGCCUCAACACCAGCUGCCCCUGGGACCCGCGCGUCCGGGGCUCCUUCUCCCAGAACACCGACUUCAGCAUCGCGCUCUCCAAGGCGCCGGCGUUCGUGGCGGAGAUGCAGCGGCUCCGGGACCUCAGCCCGGACACGUUCUGCGCCGGCAUCGACACCAGGUUCGGCGUGCUCAUCCGCUACGUCAAGGCGUCCUCCGCCUACCUGGGCAAGCCCGAGGACUCCGUCGACUUCGACAUAGUCUCCUACCGGAGCCGCACCGACGGCAUGCCGCGCGCGCACGCCGACGUGGUGGACGAGAUCGAGCAGAUGGCGCUGCACAAGUACGGCGGCCUCCCGCACUGGGGGAAGAACCGCAACUUCGCCUUCGACGGCGCCAUCGCGAAAUACCCGAAAGCUGAUGAAUUCCUCAGGGUGAAGGACAGGUACGACCCCGACGGGCUCUUCUCCAGCGAGUGGAGCGACCAGGUGCUCGGCAUCAAUGGGAGCCCCAACAUCGUCAAGGAGGGCUGCGGCGUGGAAGGGUUGUGUGUUUGCUCUGAAGACUCGCACUGUGCGCCCGAGCAAGGCUACUUUUGCCGUCCAGGAAAGGUGCACGACGAGGCGAGGGUUUGCUCCACAAGUGUUAACCCGUGA